GAUGAACGCUGGCGGCGUGCCUAAUACAUGCAAGUCGAGCGAACAGACGAGGAGCUUGCUCCUCUGACGUUAGCGGCGGACGGGUGAGUAACACGUGGAUAACCUACCUAUAAGACUGGGAUAACUUCGGGAAACCGGAGCUAAUACCGGAUAAUAUAUUGAACCGCAUGGUUCAAUAGUGAAAGACGGUUUUGCUGUCCCUUAUAGAUGGAUCCGCGCCGCAUUAGCUAGUUGGUAAGGUAACGGCUUACCAAGGCAACGAUGCGUAGCCGACCUGAGAGGGUGAUCAGCCACACUGGAACUGAGACACGGUCCAGACUCCUACGGGAGGCAGCAGUAGGGAAUCUUCCGCAAUGGGCGAAAGCCUGACGCAGCAACGCCGCGUGAGUGAUGAAGGUCUUCGGAUCGUAAAACUCUUUUAUUAGGGAAGAACAAAUGUGUAAGUAACUAUGCACGUCUUGACGGUACCUAAUCAGAAAGCCACGGCUAACUACGUG
This 497-nucleotide ribosomal RNA is filed under the name uncultured bacterium. RNAcentral describes it as "partial 16S ribosomal RNA". It matches the Rfam family "Bacterial small subunit ribosomal RNA", at positions 28 to 507 of the family's 1533-position model. The record is from RNAcentral.